Molecule: ribosomal RNA, 447 nt
Filed under: uncultured bacterium
Lineage: Bacteria
Description: bacterial SSU rRNA
Rfam family: Bacterial small subunit ribosomal RNA
Source: RNAcentral
ACUCCUACGGGAGGCAGCAGUGGGGAAUAUUGCACAAUGGGCGCAAGCCUGAUGCAGCAACGCCGUGUGAGUGAAGAAGGUUUUCGGAUCGUAAAACUCUGUCCUAAGGGAAGAAACAAAUGACGGUACCUUAGGAGGAAGCCCCGGCUAACUACGUGCCAGCAGCCGCGGUAAUACGUAGGGGCAAGCGUUAUCCGGAAUCACUGGGCGUAAAGGGUGCGUAGGCGGCUUAGCAAGCCAGGGGUGAAAGGCAUUGGCUCAACCAAUGUAAGCCUUUGGAACUGUUAAGCUUGAGUGCAGGAGAGGUAAGUGGAAUUCCUAGUGUAGAGGUGAAAUUCGUAGAUAUUAGGAGGAACACCAGUGGCGAAGGCGACUUACUGGACUGUAACUGACGCUGAUGCACGAAAGCGUGGGUAGCGAACAGGAUUAGAUACCCUGGUAGCACAG